GAUUAACGCUAGCGGCAGGCCUAAUACAUGCAAGUCGAACGGGAUUCAAAGUAGCAAUAUUUUGAUGAGAGUGGCGCACGGGUGAGUAACACGUAUGCAAUUUACCUUUAACUGGGGGAUAGCCCUCCGAAAGGAGGAUUAAUACCGCAUAAUAUAUUGAAAUGGCAUCAUUUUAAUAUUAAACCUACGGGGGUUAAAGAUGAGCAUGCAUCCGAUUAGCUAGUUGGUGUGGUAACGGCUCACCAAGGCAACGAUCGGUAGGGGGUCUGAGAGGAUGAUCCCCCACACUGGUACUGAGACACGGACCAGACUCCUACGGGAGGCAGCAGUAAGGAAUAUUGGACAAUGGAGGCAACUCUGAUCCAGCCAUGCCGCGUGAAGGAUUAAGGCCCUAUGGGUUGUAAACUUCUUUUAGACGGGACAAAACCCCUUUACGUGUAAAGGGUUGAUGGUACUGUCAGAAUAAGCAUCGGCUAACUUCGUGCCAGCAGCCGCGGUAAUGUCUGU
Molecule: ribosomal RNA, 507 nt
Filed under: uncultured bacterium
Lineage: Bacteria
Description: bacterial SSU rRNA
Rfam family: Bacterial small subunit ribosomal RNA
Source: RNAcentral